RNAcentral lists this ribosomal RNA (253 nucleotides) under uncultured bacterium. RNAcentral describes it as "partial 16S ribosomal RNA". It matches the Rfam family "Bacterial small subunit ribosomal RNA", at positions 524 to 776 of the family's 1533-position model. The record is from RNAcentral.
UACAGGGGGGGCAAGCGUUGUUCGGAAUCAUUGGGCGUAAAGAGCGUGUAGGCGGCCAGCCAAGUCGGAUGUGAAAUCCCUCGGCUCAACCGAGGAACUGCACUCGAUACUGGUUGGCUAGAGUCCGGGAGGGGAUGGUGGAAUUCCCAGUGUAGCGGUGAAAUGCGUAGAUAUUGGGAAGAACACCGGUGGCGAAGGCGGCCAUCUGGACCGGAACUGACGCUGAGGCGCGAAAGCCAGGGGAGCGAAUGGG